Molecule: ribosomal RNA, 253 nt
Filed under: uncultured bacterium
Lineage: Bacteria
Description: partial 16S ribosomal RNA
Rfam family: Bacterial small subunit ribosomal RNA
Source: RNAcentral
GACAGAGGCCUCAAGCGUUAGGCGGAAUCACUGGGCUUAAAGCGUGUGUAGGUGGAUUCCUAAGUGCCCUGUGAAAUCCCACGGCUCAACCGUGGAACUGCUUGGCAUACUGGGAGUCUUGAGCCAUCUAGGGGCAACUGGAACAGACGGUGGAGCGGUGAAAUGCGUAGAUAUCGUCUGGAACGCCAAUGGUGAAGACAGGUUGCUGGGGAUGUGCUGACACUGAGACACGAAAGCCAGGGGAGCAAACGGG